RNAcentral lists this unclassified non-coding RNA (190 nucleotides) under Drosophila mojavensis. RNAcentral describes it as "GI26771". The record is from RNAcentral. Lineage: Eukaryota; Metazoa; Arthropoda; Insecta; Diptera; Drosophilidae.
GUAGCAAUAUCUCCUGAUUGUGUAUGCCAGCUGUGUUCCAUACGAUUGUAUCCCAAAAGCAUAGGCUCAUUAUUCAGAAAAUUAUGCUCCGUUGUCCCAUAUGCCAUUGCCCUUAAGCAGAGUAUUUGUGGUUUGGCAUAUCCAUCCACGCUCACAUUCGAAUGCCAGCAAACCCCGAUGUAAUGUAAGA